UAUCCCUGCCCAGGGCAGAGGGCUGGAACUAGAUUAUCUUUAAGAUCCCUUCCAAGCCAUUCUGUGACUCUAAGCCAUUCAUCCUGGCCUUCCAGAAACCCUGUGGACCAUGAACUGUCCUUACUACCUAAGUCUCUAUACCUAAAUUUCUCCAUAGGGGAGAGAAAUACAGACAUGGUGCUCAGUGCAGUGACAUAUAAGUAGCUCCCAACUAUCAAUUCCAGCCAGGUGCCUUAAGAACAGUCUACUGAAUUCCUUAUUCUGUGCUAUAAUGGAAUGGAUUUCCAUGCAGCAGCUUUAUCAGUUGCUGUCAGGCAGCCAGAAUGCAAGCUCCAAGGGACAGCAAUCCAAGAUGAGAAAGCAGGACUUGGAUCAGGGCUUGCAUGAACCUGUGUUUGUUCUAUAAACAUUGUACUCCAACCUAUUGAGUCUCUCCAGACUAUCCUGAUGAUUACUAUCACUGGCAUGGAUUUUCUUCAGCUCCCUUACCACUAACGGAGAGGAUGACUAAGCAACUUGAAGCACUGACACUGAGACAAUGGAGCUGUACUUCCUUCUCCCAGGCUGUACUUCCUUCUGCAAUGCAUCAUUCUGACCUGCAAGGAUUCUUGCUAUCUCCAUUUUACAGUAUUUUAGUAAAUAUAUUACAAUAUUUUAGUACUUGUAUGGGCUCAAAUUCUCUCAGAUACUGCUGUAUUAGGUUGAUCUUAAGUUUCACACGUGAGGGACUAUAGGGUAUAAGCUGCUGAUUGAUGCAGAACUUUCAGAGAGUAGUGAUGACAGUGUUUUGGCUAACUAUUUCAAGAAAGUGUAAGAAUUUGGGGGGAAAAACCCAUCCAAGAACAUAAAAACACAGAAGACAGAUACCGCAGAUGGUUAAAAGGGAAACUGUACUCUUCCUCAGUUUUCUUGGUCCUUCAGGUUCAAAAGUACAGGGGCAGGCAGCUAUGAAGUACACACCCAGCACACACUGCUGCUCUGAACACAUCAGACCUGCUGUGAAGGGGCACCCCAGCAACAGUAAUGGGCAACAGGCAGGCAAAGCAUUAUACAAGCAAACUUACUUCCUUAAAUUCUGCCUUUAGGACAGCAUGUCCUAAAGUGGUCUGCCACUGAAGUUUUCGACCACUGUGUUUUCCCAGGUAAAAGGUUUUAAAUACCUCUUGAAGUUUUAUCAUCUGUAAAGAAAAGAGAGAAAAACAUUAGCAUUAUACCAGUGCAGUGAUACCAAAUGACUUCACACAUAUAAUUCCUUUAUUUUCCUCAACCACGUUGAGGAAAAAAAAGCCACAGAAAAUAAUAGGCUCUUUUGUGGGAAAAACUUAAUCCAAAGAGGAAAAUUCUGCUCUCAAGUACAUUGGUACUAUUAUACACAUAAGAAAGCCUCAAUUCAAAAAUAACUGAAUUUUCCUUGGGUUUUUAUCUUGCUUUUGUUUUAAAUAACAGUAAAACUCCCUGUAAAGGGUUUUAAACCUCAGAAAUAGAUACUGGUUUUGUCCUGGACUUUGAAUCUGACCUAGAAAUCAUGGGACAAAAAGCAUACAUCUCACACCUUUACACUGGCUAGUACCAUGUGCUCUUAAGUUCUUCCUGUAAGUUGUGGAUGGAAUGGAACUCCAGUCCAAUUCCACUAACUUUAUGCUCUCUUACUUCCAAGUAAGGGGCUUCAACCCCUCCAUUUUCAUCGCAGAUUGCUCAGGCUGGAUCUUUCAGAAGUAGUCUGCCAUGGAGGAAAAGAUACCUCAGAAGCAAGAGCACAAGACCUUCCAUAUCUUUCAAACUGAGUGGGAACCCCAUUAUCACCUCUGGCCCCUGAAGCACUUCCCACACCUCCAGUCAAGCAAGGAACUUGGGCUGCCUUGUAUUUCCCAUUGGAGCAGCUGCAAAACACAAUAAAUUACUCCGGAGUCCAGAAGAACAUUCUCCCUCCAUUGGUCUGAUUUAUUAAGGGGGGGAGGGCAGGGGGAGCUUUUCUAUGUAUUAAAGAAUAUACUUUAAAAGCCUAACGUGAAAAAAAAUUUAACCGAAGUCUUCUUACUUGAUUUGCCAAUAGACUUGAAAAUGAAGGAGUCAUACAGAUACCCACAAACUUUCACACCUUAAACCCAAGCUUCUCCCUAUUGACAGUACAAAGAUAUCAGCAAGGUGUUUCCCUUUUAAGAGGAAGAAAUUCACUGUAACUCAAGCUACUGUUCGUGUUGCCUGCAAUAGCCACUUGCAAUUCCUUGCAAACACCUUCCAAUUUAGUGCUUCUUAUGAUAGUCUUCUUCCUUGCCCAUCCUGUCCUGGUGAAGUGAUGUUUCAUGAACCAGCUCCAUCAAGAUAUUAUCAAAAAGGCCAGUGCUCAGAAACUACCUAAUUAUCAUCUGCUUUUAAAAGAGCUCUUAUGUACUAGACAGUUCAAAAUAAAAUUUCCGCUUUUAGCUCAGUACUACAAAAAAUAUGAAGAGUUGGUGAAAGUUUCAGAUUAACAGAAAUUAAUCUCUUAGGCUGACAAGCUGCCAGUACAACUGUUUUCAUUCACCAUCUCCAUCUGACAAAAAUGAUGCAAUUAUGAUUCAAUUAUGCAAAUGAUACUACUUUAUGACUUGACUUUCCCAUUAUAUUGUACUUGUUGGGGGUUUUUUAUGAGGAGAGAACCCCACAGAUCUCAAACAAACUAAUACCAAAUUGGGUAGUUCCUGCUAUUCCAUCCCCACCCAGGACACACAUUCCACUUCCCUCAGAACAGUGACCAUGUAUCUGUAUUGGACUGGACCACUGGUUUUUAGGGUAUCUAGAAAAAAAAAAAUCUCCUAACACAUUCAAGGAUUUUGCUCAGAUAGAGACAUACAUGAGGGAAGUGCAUUUCAAAGGCAGUGAAACUCAGCAGUUAACACUUUUUGCUACUAUUCUGAGCCCUUCUCUGUGUUCCUUCUUAGCCAUGAUGAGAAAAGUCAAAAGAGAAGUUGCCGGGUUUUCAUGCUUUGUACCUACAACAUACAUAAAUGGAUAGGAAAGAGGAAGUCUGUACUGUCAUUAGAGGAAAGGUUGUGGUUAUAGACAUGGUUAAUUUAUGUAAAAAACUUCCAGCAACACCUCUAACUCUUAGGUCUCCACUCACAAGACUCUGAAAGGUCUGUAACUUGCCAAUCUCCACAGAACUAUUUGUCCUCCCCGGUAUAUUUAUUGUGCUGCUUCAGGUGUAAAGCAACCUGAAUUAAAGACCAAGUUGAGCAGAAACUGUUGCUGAAAAAGAUCUCUUACAUUCAGAGGAAAGCAGCCCUGCUAGUAGCAAGGGGAACAGUUUUAAUUGCAUCAACAGUGAACCACUAUUUCUUACCAUGAAUGAAUCUAAAUAUGAUCAUGAUUUUGUCAAGGAUUCUUUCCAGUUCUUCAUCUGUUGCUUCUUUAUUACCAGCUCUUAAUUUGGA
Corvus hawaiiensis (hawaiian crow) is the source of this 3413-nucleotide long non-coding RNA. RefSeq lists it as uncharacterized. The record is from RefSeq and is a predicted model, not a curated record. The transcript has 3 exons. NCBI's taxonomy places the organism in Eukaryota, Metazoa, Chordata, Aves, Passeriformes, Corvidae.